AACCGUAAACGUCGAAAAACGACAGGCACUAAACACCGACAGUUGAUCCAAGAAACAGUUGAUUGACGAAACGCUCAUUUUAGUUCUCGGGCUCGUUCUGCCAAUAUCGGCGACGUCAAGGCUCCAUUGAGGCGACAACGCAGGCCGCUCUCUGAAGUGAGAAAAUAAAAAAAAAAGUUAGACGAUUCGCACGUAAUUGGUCUCUGGCAAAAUGGCGGGUUGAUGGAUAAUUAAGGAUUAGUUCUUCACUACACGGAAACAAACGUUGUAUCCGAGUCACAUGCUGCCCAUGGAGGGUGAAGACAUCGGUCGGCCCGACGAAACUUUUUCGCAUACCGUAUUAUGCCCAACAUUCGAAAUCGAGCGGAGAGGAUACUAAGAACGGCUUAAGUGGCGGGCAUAAAGGAUCUAUACGUUGAUUUAGUAUGAAAAUCACGUUGUUUGAAUGAAGGCAGUCUAUUUCUUCAAUAACAUAAUUUUGGUACAAAAUAUACGGGCAUCUCUUGUUGCUGCUGCUGCUACUCUAGAAGAUAACUUGAAGGCUAGAGAAUAAUGUUACCUGGACGUCAGACGACGAUAAAGCUUCGAUGUGCUCUUCAUUCUAAAGUAUUGGGGUCGGGACCACGAGGGAGCUGAAAACAAACGAACAAUUCUGUUAUAUUAUUGAAUAUGCGUAUGUUGGAAGAAGAGUCGCUCUAUGUGAUAGGCGGUUCCACUUUCAUUUGUUAAUUCCAAUUCAUUAAAAUCCUUUUAUAGCAUUGGAAAUUUAGUAAACCAACAAACGUGCUUUACAGACGCUAAUAUCACCGACCAUAGAAACUACUACAGCGAAAUAGCUAUCACGGAUACUCGUAUAUUUUACAUUCUCACAUUUUUUACGGUAACGAUGAUGGGAACUAUUUGCUAAAAACGGCGUUUUUUUUUUCAAAAAAUAGAAUCUGUGCCUUCGUUUGGCGCCUACGUCAUGAGUUACUUACCUGUGUUUUCUCCACGUUUCAUCUUGAAUUCCCUUACCAAUCGUACUUUGCUAGUUUUGAAAUGCUAUACAAGUAUUAUCUUAUACGGUCAUAAUAAGAUCUGCCGAUAUUUACUCUUAGAAGCUUUUAUUUGUCGUCUCAAAUCUGUUGCCUUAACUUUGUCCGAGUGACAAAACUACGCGGCUAAUAUAUGGUCACAAAAAUACCUCCAUCUUCCCUUGCUGUAUCGUAGCCUAUUUCACUUUUGCCUCUACUAUUUCCAAAAUACCUGGUCGACGGCCAAAAUAAACAGUCAAUUCUAGAUACAUGUAAUUCAUCACUGAAAUUGUUUAAUCUUUGUGGUCGGACCCCGUACCUUGCGACAAAGUAACGAUUAUUACGAAAAUAUACUAUGGGCCUCCCUCUCAAUGCUAUUGGUCUCUUAUUUAAUGCAGACUUAUUCGUUAGGUAAACAUAUAUUUAGAUUGUAUGUAUAUUAUGACUAGCGAUGCAGACGCUGGUAGGGUUGCGGUACUGAUGUUCUGCGCAACGCACUUUUAAGGGAGAACAUGACGUCUGACCGCAUAUAUAAGCUCUUCUAUAGGCAUAAUGGAACACAAAUUACCGUAUAACUUUACAUGAACCCCUUUCAAUGCGAUUUGUUCUAACUGCGUUGAGUGGAAUACUCUGUGGUAUUGGAAUGUCUAAUAGUAACUUAUUUAUUUUGUAGAACGGUCAUACAUUCAGACGUUCCCACGAUGCAGGGCCAAUAAUAUGAGCCCAACGUUAGGAGAAAAGUUAGGCAGACGUGGUAUAAUUCAAUUAUUUGUAACUAUAUGAUCAUUUAUUUCGUUGCGAAAUGUAUCAUUCUUUUUUUUUGUCCUGUGACGGUUUGUUAUUAUUAUGUAUGUAUGUAUAUUAUUAAUAAAUUAGUUAUUUUUAAACUAUUUAAACUUACAUAGUCAUAUCUGUAUCGCAAGAGACACAAAAAAGAUGAUAUUAUUGUUAGUAAUUAACAUGGUAUAUUAUAUUGAGAUACCAUUCGUGACCCACGAUUCCUGUCAAAAAGCUGUUCCGGGUGCAAUAGCUUUAUCUGUAUGCACCUCUACAAAGCUGAGCGGUAAACUUCCUGAUUCCGUGCCAUUUAACGGCGAACACAACUCCUAUUGUAGGCACGUAUUUCACCUAUUCUAAAGGGAACGCAAGAUCAUAACAAUAAACCGGCUUACCUGGGAUCGUCGAGGCAUGUCCUUCCGCUAGUGAGAUGAGGGAUCUACAAAAUUGCAUCUACGUACUAGUUUUUUAAACUCUAGAUUACCUUAACUGAAAUCGUUGGCGCAAUUUGACAUGCGAGAGCAAAGAAUUUGCCAAACGAACGAAGAAGCAAUAUUUUGAAAAAAAAAAUACUAUUAUUGCUAGCUUACUGUACACAUACUACCUUAUCAUUCCUGUUGUGUCGAGUAUGGUAAAAAAAAAUUGAUUAAAAUAAUAUGAGUUAGUGCAGAGUAUCGACUUAAUCAAGACUGUAUUGAUUUAAAAAAAUCCAAGUAAAUUAAUUACUUAGAUGAACCUUCCUUCAUCUGAGAACAUAUGCUUACUGGAAACAAACGAACGUCCAUUGCUGCACUGGAAAGCUUCCCACUUAAUACAUACUACUUGCGAUACAACAAUUAGUCAGUUCCGUCUACCUUCCAUUGGUAAUAUGUCUGACUAUCGAAACAAUCAGGAUCAGAUCGCCAUCACGCGAACACAAAUCGAAUAUACUCCAUAUUUAGGUCAUGUCUCAACAAUUGUUUAUCUGUACAAUUAAAAAUGAUGCCAGCAGAUGUAGAUCAGAGAUAAAAAGGUAAUAGAUAACGUGACAACGCACACAUGUGGGAUGAACAUCAACGUAUUGAUUUUUUUACUCGUUUCUAUAAUUCAUAUAUAGCUUCUCUGCAUAUAUAUAGCACAUAUAUAGCUGAUUGGAAUGGCGUCUAAUAUCACAAGAACAUUGCGUUCUCUCAUACGUACAAUUAAUAGAAUGUAAUAAGCAGCUGAUCCAAUCCCGUAAGUUCUAAACUGGCCGUUUCUCUUUGUUUUUAUAUACAACUAAAAUUAUUGUAACAUGCAGUGAUUAUUCCAUUAGUACCAAUAAAGGUAUCGAUUGAAGUAUUGCAUAAAAAUAUUGUAUGGGUAUUUAGUGUCAUUUAGUGGUUGGCAUAUAAAAUGUUUUGGAUUUGAAUCACUGGUACUUAGGGGUAACUUUAUUUCAUCUUCUGAACUCCACGUAGAUUUCAACGUAUUAGGCACAGACGCAUAAUAAUAGCUUCUUUUGUUUUUUUUUUUUCUUUAUCACUGCUAGCUCAAUUUAUUAAAAAACGGAAUGAUCAUUGCGACAAAAACAGAGAGACUAAAGAUGAAUCUUUCAAAGGCAAUACCAGCCGGCUUCAACUUCUAAUUGAAUUCACUUCUUAUCUAUCACCCUUGUUGGUAUUCGUGUACGUUUACUAAACCAGCAACUUUAGUAACGUAUAUGAGUACAAAAUGCAUAUUUCCUAAUAAGCAAAUUAUAGUUCAAAAACGCUGGCACACAAUGCCGCAAUGUGGUGCAUAGAAAUAUGAAACAGAAACAAGAGUUUGUACCACGAAGCGUUGCUGCCUCUAAAAGACAGCUCUAUUGACAAAAUAAAAAUCCACCUCUGACCACCUUUAACGAACCUAUUCUAUUCGUAAUAAUGAUGAAUAGCAACUUUCUCAGCUAUAGUCAGUGAUUCAUUAUAAUUGGUCAUUUGAAAUAUCAUUACGGACGCCACUAACUUCUGUACAACUGCUUUAUAACAAACAUUAAUAUAUAAACGAUUUCCUUCCAAUAAACACAGGCAAAAACAUAGCUUUCAGAAAAUCCCUGAUUUGCUUGUACUGCACAACUCAGUUGUCCGAUAAAUAUCUUGCCAUCCCCUACCUGCUCCUUAUGAAAAAUCACGCACAGAUUCGACGUGUUACCUCAGCCUUAAGGCUCAUUAGUAUCGCUGUACGUGAUCAACGUUCGGUUGAAAGACGCGCAUAAUGUCAUUUCCUCUAGACCGGGCGUAUGACAGACUGAAUCCCGACGGCAAAGAACAGUGAUAACAACAACUUUCAGAUAUCGUCAUUUUUUCGAUCAUAUCCUGCAGAGGUAUAGUUUCGCCGGUAAUAGCUCAAAGGCUACCGUAGCGACCGUUACUAUCCCAAUACUGAAACAAUAGGCAUGGUUUACUUGCACACAAACUUUGCUGUUAUAAGGGUUAUAGUACAGAAAUUCAAUGCAGUAUUAGAUGCUUCGACAAAAUUCGUUUCUAGUUAAUGUUGCUAUUUGAACGCGCCUAAUAAUCGGGUAAUAUAUAUGUGCUGAAGGAUGUCACUAUUCGGUCUGCCAUUGGCUAUUGGCCAAGUCACUGAAAAACUUCGAAUAAAGAAUUCGAAAGGUAAAUUAACUUACCAUCAUAACUGUAGCUGGGAUGAAAUUCGGAUUGAUUCCAGGCAUCCAUUUUUAGUCGAUUUGAGUGAAAUUUAGUAGUUUCAAGCUUUACUUAAUUAUAUGGGAGUUUGCGACAAUUUAAAAUUGAGCAGGACACAGGAAGUCUAUUCUCAGACCUAUCCUUUCUUCUAUUUUGGAUGUUUACCAGAUUAACCUAUCGAAAAGUCGCACAGUUUUUGUGGUUUCGGGCCGUAACACUCAGUAAAUUCAUCGUAGAGGAAAGUCGGCAGAAUGUCGUUUCGGUUUUAUCCAUCACUGAUGUACAUAGUCGCUUUGCUAGUGCUAAACCUACCUCCUCGUAUCUCAAAGAAGCAUACAUUUUCUUUAAAAAAUAUCAUUUCGAGCAGGAUCUUCGGAAACGAUUUCUAAACCUCGAUAGAUGUUAUUUCGUUUCUUCCACUUCACUGUUUAAGCAGGUCGAACAUCGAGGUACGUCUUAAGCACAGUCGAUGAUUACGACUACAGAGCCGCGACGGUUUGGCAGCAAAUGGCUCCACUAACCAUUAAUACUUCACUGAAUAGCGGUUACAAGGGUAACAAAACUACAUAGACAAUAUUCGUACGAUUCAGUUAUGGAGAAAUAAUGGCACAGUAUACCCGUCUUUCACGGGAACCGAACCUGUUUCGAGUGAACAGUCAGCAAUAGUGCUUCCAAUAACGGAGAACAGCGAAUCCUCCCCAACUCAAAGGUAUAAAAUAUUACACUUUUAUGGCAGUGAUCAGCUCAAAUAGAGCUAACAACGGUACGGCCAAUGAGAAACCUUUCGAAAAUGGUGGUAGUAGCAGCAGCAGCAGCAGCAGCAAGCUACGUAAAGACUCGUCCACAGACUGUAGCACACAAGCAAACGGCAAAAAGGUUCAGAUAUAAAUACAACGUUUACGUAAACACUGUAUGAAGCGGACGGCAGAGUCCUCUACAUCAUCCUUAUAGCCAAACAUUACUACUUACCUAACGUGGCCCAGUCCGCAGGACGCCCAAUACGUUUAGCCAGUACAGAGGACUUGGCCACGCGUCGACCGAGCUGAACUGCCGGCCACAAAAUCUACCCUCGACCUCACUUGAAUCAGCAAUGGUGAAUGGGGAAUUGCCGUUUAGCAGAGAGAUUUUGACUAAGAACAACCGUCGUGUACGACGGUACAGCUAGCCCGCAGCAAGUACGGCAUAGAAGAAUGAUUUUCGUGGAUGUUUCUGUGUAACAAAGUUACUACGGCUGCAUUUGACGGUUGUCAUUUCUAAAUUAGGAAACUGCAUGUGUCGGCUGCUCUUCCUACUGAGCCAUUGUUGCUGUUUGCAGCCACUAUUCACGGGAAUCGAAAUCUGCGCUCGCACCGAAUUGUUGCUUUGGGCGCUUAAAACUUGGUCUCCGGUCGCAGCUUUUACUAACGGAGUACGACGAUUGUUUUGGAUACUGUUGCUAUACGCGGUACUAGCACUACAAUCAUUAUGAUAGAACGUCAUAUACGAAGCGAAAAUAAUUAGCACACAAUGCUUUCAGAUUUUCGAGCGUCCGUCUCGUCUUGACACGCCGGCUAAUACAGAAAACGCCUUGAUGGUCGCGUGUUAGUGCUGUCUUUUUCAGCUCAGUCUUACUUGCUGUUGGUUUUUAGCUUUCGGAACAGCAGCAGCGGCAUUACUAUCAUAAUUGCGACCGUAUAUUGCACACUAUUUGUAUCGCUCGUUAUAGCAUCACGUGCACAACUACCCAGUACAGAUCUGAUCUGCAACAAGAAUUCGUUUCGGAUCCGCUCGGGCACUACGAGAGAGGGAACCACGUCGAUGAGACGCUUGGUGAGGGCCCACCCCAUGCAAGCAAAGGCGACAGUCAGCAAAACCUAUGAUAGCUACAUAUGGCUUUGCGGCGAACAUUGCAGUAAUAACAGAUACGACAUGAUAAUACGGGCGGUGGCGGGCAACGGCAGAAACACUAUUCGCCUACAACUAUACAUCGAAUGGCUUCAGCUCGGUUCAACUUAAGCCAUCUACUCGGCUCUGUAAAGAAAACAGCGACAACGGUAACAACGAAUAACGUAGAACCCAACGCCGAUGAUGCUAGCCUCAUUAGCUUUUGCCUCUGACAUGAGUAAGAUGUGC
This 6547-nucleotide long non-coding RNA is filed under the name Varroa destructor (honeybee mite). Its description in RNAcentral is "uncharacterized LOC111252090". Lineage: Eukaryota; Metazoa; Arthropoda; Arachnida; Mesostigmata; Varroidae. The record is from RNAcentral.